This 1760-nucleotide ribosomal RNA is filed under the name Escherichia coli. RNAcentral describes it as "partial 23S ribosomal RNA". It matches the Rfam family "Bacterial large subunit ribosomal RNA", at positions 408 to 2153 of the family's 2925-position model. The record is from RNAcentral. Lineage: Bacteria; Pseudomonadati; Pseudomonadota; Gammaproteobacteria; Enterobacterales; Enterobacteriaceae.
AUGAGUAGGGCGGGACACGUGGUAUCCUGUCUGAAUAUGGGGGGACCAUCCUCCAAGGCUAAAUACUCCUGACUGACCGAUAGUGAACCAGUACCGUGAGGGAAAGGCGAAAAGAACCCCGGCGAGGGGAGUGAAAAAGAACCUGAAACCGUGUACGUACAAGCAGUGGGAGCACGCUUAGGCGUGUGACUGCGUACCUUUUGUAUAAUGGGUCAGCGACUUAUAUUCUGUAGCAAGGUUAACCGAAUAGGGGAGCCGAAGGGAAACCGAGUCUUAACUGGGCGUUAAGUUGCAGGGUAUAGACCCGAAACCCGGUGAUCUAGCCAUGGGCAGGUUGAAGGUUGGGUAACACUAACUGGAGGACCGAACCGACUAAUGUUGAAAAAUUAGCGGAUGACUUGUGGCUGGGGGUGAAAGGCCAAUCAAACCGGGAGAUAGCUGGUUCUCCCCGAAAGCUAUUUAGGUAGCGCCUCGUGAAUUCAUCUCCGGGGGUAGAGCACUGUUUCGGCAAGGGGGUCAUCCCGACUUACCAACCCGAUGCAAACUGCGAAUACCGGAGAAUGUUAUCACGGGAGACACACGGCGGGUGCUAACGUCCGUCGUGAAGAGGGAAACAACCCAGACCGCCAGCUAAGGUCCCAAAGUCAUGGUUAAGUGGGAAACGAUGUGGGAAGGCCCAGACAGCCAGGAUGUUGGCUUAGAAGCAGCCAUCAUUUAAAGAAAGCGUAAUAGCUCACUGGUCGAGUCGGCCUGCGCGGAAGAUGUAACGGGGCUAAACCAUGCACCGAAGCUGCGGCAGCGACGCUUAUGCGUUGUUGGGUAGGGGAGCGUUCUGUAAGCCUGUGAAGGUGUGCUGUGAGGCAUGCUGGAGGUAUCAGAAGUGCGAAUGCUGACAUAAGUAACGAUAAAGCGGGUGAAAAGCCCGCUCGCCGGAAGACCAAGGGUUCCUGUCCAACGUUAAUCGGGGCAGGGUGAGUCGACCCCUAAGGCGAGGCCGAAAGGCGUAGUCGAUGGGAAACAGGUUAAUAUUCCUGUACUUGGUGUUACUGCGAAGGGGGGACGGAGAAGGCUAUGUUGGCCGGGCGACGGUUGUCCCGGUUUAAGCGUGUAGGCUGGUUUUCCAGGCAAAUCCGGAAAAUCAAGGCUGAGGCGUGAUGACGAGGCACUACGGUGCUGAAGCAACAAAUGCCCUGCUUCCAGGAAAAGCCUCUAAGCAUCAGGUAACAUCAAAUCGUACCCCAAACCGACACAGGUGGUCAGGUAGAGAAUACCAAGGCGCUUGAGAGAACUCGGGUGAAGGAACUAGGCAAAAUGGUGCCGUAACUUCGGGAGAAGGCACGCUGAUAUGUAGGUGAAGUCCCUCGCGGAUGGAGCUGAAAUCAGUCGAAGAUACCAGCUGGCUGCAACUGUUUAUUAAAAACACAGCACUGUGCAAACACGAAAGUGGACGUAUACGGUGUGACGCCUGCCCGGUGCCGGAAGGUUAAUUGAUGGGGUCAGCGCAAGCGAAGCUCUUGAUCGAAGCCCCGGUAAACGGCGGCCGUAACUAUAACGGUCCUAAGGUAGCGAAAUUCCUUGUCGGGUAAGUUCCGACCUGCACGAAUGGCGUAAUGAUGGCCAGGCUGUCUCCACCCGAGACUCAGUGAAAUUGAACUCGCUGUGAAGAUGCAGUGUACCCGCGGCAAGACGGAAAGACCCCGUGAACCUUUACUAUAGCUUGACACUGAACAUUGAGCCUUGAUGUGUAGGAUAGGUGGGAG